CCCACCUCCCAGUGCAGCGGGUGCAGGCAGUACGAGGCCACCCAGGAUCCCAGAACCUCUGGGUCCCAGCUGAGAGCAUGGCUGGGACGAGCAGGAUGCUCCUAAAGGUGCCCUCUUCUGAGUACACACCUUGUGAGCAGCUUGUGCAAUUGCCUGGCCGACACUCUGAGGCCAUCUUGUCCACACCACCACCAUCCCCCGGCUUCUCCGGGCGCCUGCCCCGUGCCCGCAGGCAGCACCAAAUCCAGGAGCACAGGUAG
This is a non-coding RNA of Lonchura striata (white-rumped munia), 260 nucleotides long. The record is from RefSeq and is a predicted model, not a curated record. Lineage: Eukaryota; Metazoa; Chordata; Aves; Passeriformes; Estrildidae.